RNAcentral lists this ribosomal RNA (582 nucleotides) under uncultured bacterium. RNAcentral's name for it is "partial 16S ribosomal RNA". It matches the Rfam family "Bacterial small subunit ribosomal RNA", at positions 355 to 932 of the family's 1533-position model. The record is from RNAcentral.
UGGGGAAUAUUGCACAAUGGGCGCAAGCCUGAUGCAGCCAUGCCGCGUGUGUGAAGAAGGCCUUCGGGUUGUAAAGCACUUUCAGCGAGGAGGAAGGUGGUGAGCUUAAUACGCUCAUCAAUUGACGUUACUCGCAGAAGAAGCACCGGCUAACUCCGUGCCAGCAGCCGCGGUAAUACGGAGGGUGCAAGCGUUAAUCGGAAUUACUGGGCGUAAAGCGCACGCAGGCGGUUUGUUAAGUCAGAUGUGAAAUCCCCGGGCUCAACCUGGGAACUGCAUUUGAAACUGGCAAGCUAGAGUCUCGUAGAGGGGGGUAGAAUUCCAGGUGUAGCGGUGAAAUGCGUAGAGAUCUGGAGGAAUACCGGUGGCGAAGGCGGCCCCCUGGACGAAGACUGACGCUCAGGUGCGAAAGCGUGGGGAGCAAAACAGGAUUAGAUACCCUGGUAGUCCACGCUGUAAACGAUGUCGAUUUUGGAGGUUGUGCCCUUGAGGCGUGGCUUCCGGAGCUAACGCGUUAAAUCGACCGCCUGGGGAGUACGGCCGCAAGGUUAAAACUCAAAGGAAUUGACGGGGUCAUAGCUG